GACGGAGGGGGCUAGCGUUGUUCGGAAUUACUGGGCGUAAAGGGCGCGUAGGCGGGUUAGUAAGUUGGGAGUGAGAUCCCGAGGCUUAACCUCGGAAUUGCUUUCAAAACUGUUAGUCUAGAGUGAAGCAGGGGGUGAUGGAAUUUCUAGUGUAGAGGUGAAAUUCUUAGAUAUUAGAAGGAACACCGGUGGCGAAGGCGGUCACCUGGGCUUCAACUGACGCUGAGGCGCGAAAGCGUGGGGAGCAAACAGG
RNAcentral lists this ribosomal RNA (253 nucleotides) under uncultured bacterium. RNAcentral describes it as "partial 16S ribosomal RNA". It matches the Rfam family "Bacterial small subunit ribosomal RNA", at positions 524 to 776 of the family's 1533-position model. The record is from RNAcentral.